AACGCACAUUGCGCCCUUUGGUAUUCCGAAGGGCAUGCCUGUUCGAGCGUCAUUUUCACCCCUCAAGCCCCCGGCUUGGUGUUGGACGGUUUGGUCCCGGGACCCCCCUGGACCCCUCCCAAAGACAAUGACGGCGGGCUGUCGCACCCCCGGUACACUGAGCAUCUUCACGGAGCACGUAUCGGUAUUCAGGGUCGACGGCACCCGGUCUCACACCUAUAUCUUUCAAGGUUGACCUCGGAUCAGGUAGGAAUACCCGCUGAACUUAA
This 269-nucleotide unclassified non-coding RNA is filed under the name uncultured fungus. RNAcentral's name for it is "partial contains 5.8S ribosomal RNA, internal transcribed spacer 2, and large subunit ribosomal RNA". The stretch from base 1 to 52 matches the Rfam family "5.8S ribosomal RNA", at positions 103 to 154 of the family's 154-position model. The record is from RNAcentral. Lineage: Eukaryota; Fungi.